UUAUAAAUAAAGUUUUAUUGGUGCAUGAUGUUGCAGAAGUGAAGGGAACCAGGUUUGCUAAAGUAAUUUUGGUGAUAGAAAUGUAUUAGCCUCAGAAGCUACUGAGGUGGUUCAUUCUAUCCUAGUACAGUG
RNAcentral lists this small nucleolar RNA (132 nucleotides) under Myotis davidii. The record is from RNAcentral. Lineage: Eukaryota; Metazoa; Chordata; Mammalia; Chiroptera; Vespertilionidae.